UCUUCCAUAGCUCAGUCGGGAGAGCGACGGACUGUUAAUCCGCAGGUCCCUGGUUCGAGCCCAGGUGGAAGAGCCA
RNAcentral lists this transfer RNA (76 nucleotides) under Acinetobacter sp. F_3_1. Its description in RNAcentral is "tRNA-Asn". It matches the Rfam family "tRNA". Rfam says of the family: Transfer RNA (tRNA) molecules are approximately 80 nucleotides in length. Their secondary structure includes four short double-helical elements and three loops (D, anti-codon, and T loops). Further hydrogen bonds mediate the characteristic L-shaped molecular structure. tRNAs have two regions of fundamental functional importance: the anti-codon, which is responsible for specific mRNA codon recognition, and the 3' end, to which the tRNAs corresponding amino acid is attached (by aminoacyl-tRNA synthetases). tRNAs cope with the degeneracy of the genetic code in two manners: having more than one tRNA (with a specific anti-codon) for a particular amino acid; and 'wobble' base-pairing, i.e. permitting non-standard base-pairing at the 3rd anti-codon position. Lineage: Bacteria; Pseudomonadati; Pseudomonadota; Gammaproteobacteria; Moraxellales; Moraxellaceae. The record is from RNAcentral.